RNAcentral lists this small nuclear RNA (21 nucleotides) under Arabidopsis thaliana (thale cress). RNAcentral's name for it is "snRNA_11632". Lineage: Eukaryota; Viridiplantae; Streptophyta; Magnoliopsida; Brassicales; Brassicaceae. The record is from RNAcentral.
GGCUCAUAUUAAGAAAUUCAA